RNAcentral lists this ribosomal RNA (254 nucleotides) under uncultured bacterium. RNAcentral's name for it is "partial 16S ribosomal RNA". It matches the Rfam family "Bacterial small subunit ribosomal RNA", at positions 524 to 777 of the family's 1533-position model. The record is from RNAcentral.
UACGUAGGUGGCAAGCGUUGUCCGGAAUUAUUGGGCGUAAAGCGCGCGCAGGUGGUUCCUUAAGUCUGAUGUGAAAGCCCACGGCUCAACCGUGGAGGGUCAUUGGAAACUGGGGAACUUGAGUGCAGAAGAGGAAAGUGGAAUUCCAAGUGUAGCGGUGAAAUGCGUAGAGAUUUGGAGGAACACCAGUGGCGAAGGCGACUACCUGGCCUGUUCUUGACGCUGAGGCGCGAAAGCUAGGGGAGCAAACGGGG